AAACAUCAAGUAUAGUGUCAAUUUAAUCACCAAUUAUAAUGGACCAAAAUUAUAAUCUGUAGAUACAUCGUUGCCACAAUCGAAGCACCACUAUAUAUUAUCAGAAGAAAUACAGUAGAAAAGUAAUUAGAGACAAAGGAACCAUAAAACUACAACUAUACCACUGCCUGACUCCAUCCUGCAUGCCUGUGUUUUCCUAUCUAAACAAUCAUUGUUUUGUUUUUCAAAUCUUAUUUAUCAAAAAGAGUUUGAAUAGUAAAGUUACAAAGCAACCCUUGGCCUUCAGAAACUUUUGUCAACAAUUAGGGUUCC
This 312-nucleotide long non-coding RNA is filed under the name Lathyrus oleraceus (garden pea). RNAcentral's name for it is "Pisum sativum (pea) long non-coding RNA (PSAT_LNC024761)". The record is from RNAcentral. Lineage: Eukaryota; Viridiplantae; Streptophyta; Magnoliopsida; Fabales; Fabaceae.